This 504-nucleotide ribosomal RNA is filed under the name uncultured bacterium. RNAcentral describes it as "bacterial SSU rRNA". It matches the Rfam family "Bacterial small subunit ribosomal RNA", at positions 43 to 518 of the family's 1533-position model. The record is from RNAcentral.
CGUGCCUAAUACAUGCAAGUCGAACGGUCUUUUCUAUGGAAGCUUGCUUCCACUGAGAAGAUAGUGGCGAACGGGUGAGUAACACGUGGGUAACCUGCCCAUAAGAGGGGGAUAACAUCCGGAAACGGGUGCUAAUACCGCAUAGUUUUCUUGAUCGCAUGAUUGAGAAAGGAAAGACGGCCUUUGUGCUGUCGCUUAUGGAUGGACCCGCGGCGUAUUAGUUAGUUGGUGAGGUAACGGCUCACCAAGACGAUGAUACGUAGCCGACCUGAGAGGGUGAUCGGCCACAUUGGGACUGAGACACGGCCCAAACUCCUACGGGAGGCAGCAGUAGGGAAUCUUCCGCAAUGGACGAAAGUCUGACGGAGCAACGCCGCGUGAGUGAAGAAAAGGUUUUCGGAUCGUAAAACUCUGUUGUCAGAGAAGAACAAGUUGGAGAGUAACUGCUCCAGCCUUGACGGUAUCUGACCAGAAAGCCACGGCUAACUACGUGCCAGCCGCCGC